Molecule: ribosomal RNA, 103 nt
Filed under: uncultured bacterium
Lineage: Bacteria
Description: partial 16S ribosomal RNA
Source: RNAcentral
CCUUCGGGUUGUAAACUCCUGUCAUUUGGGAACAAGCUCGGGGAGGGGAUAAUCCUUUCCGGGGUGAUAGUACCAGAAGAGGAAGUCACGGCUAACUCUGUGC